Transfer RNA from Loxodonta africana (African savanna elephant), 73 nucleotides. It matches the Rfam family "tRNA". Rfam says of the family: Transfer RNA (tRNA) molecules are approximately 80 nucleotides in length. Their secondary structure includes four short double-helical elements and three loops (D, anti-codon, and T loops). Further hydrogen bonds mediate the characteristic L-shaped molecular structure. tRNAs have two regions of fundamental functional importance: the anti-codon, which is responsible for specific mRNA codon recognition, and the 3' end, to which the tRNAs corresponding amino acid is attached (by aminoacyl-tRNA synthetases). tRNAs cope with the degeneracy of the genetic code in two manners: having more than one tRNA (with a specific anti-codon) for a particular amino acid; and 'wobble' base-pairing, i.e. permitting non-standard base-pairing at the 3rd anti-codon position. NCBI's taxonomy places the organism in Eukaryota, Metazoa, Chordata, Mammalia, Proboscidea, Elephantidae. The record is from Rfam.
GCAGAAAUAGCUCAGUUGGGAGAGUAAUAGACUGAAGAUCUGAAGAUCCCUGGCUGGAUUCCAGGUUUCCACA